GACGAACGCUGGCGGCGUGCUUAACACAUGCAAGUCGAACGGUAAGGCCCUUCGGGGUACACGAGUGGCGAACGGGUGAGUAACACGUGGGUGAUCUGCCCUGCACUUCGGGAUAAGCCUGGGAAACUGGGUCUAAUACCGGAUAGGACCACUGCCUGCAUGGGUGGUGGUGGAAAGCUUUUGCGGUGUGGGAUGGGCCCGCGGCCUAUCUGCUUGUUGGUGGGGUGAUGGCCUACCAAGGCGACGACGGGUAGCCGGCCGGGGAGGGUAACGGGCCACACUGGGACGGAGAUACGGCCCAUACUCCUACGGGAGGCAGCAGUGGGGAAUAUUGCACAAUGGGCGCAAGACGGAUGCAGCGACGCCGCGUGAGGGAUGACGGCCUUCGGGUUGUAAACCUCUUUCAGCACCGACGAAGCGCAAGUGACGGUAGGUGCAGAAGAAGGACCGGCCAACUACGUGCCAGCCGCCGCCGUAA
This 478-nucleotide ribosomal RNA is filed under the name uncultured bacterium. RNAcentral describes it as "partial 16S ribosomal RNA". It matches the Rfam family "Bacterial small subunit ribosomal RNA", at positions 28 to 523 of the family's 1533-position model. The record is from RNAcentral.